UGUCUCUCUCCUUGCUUCUCUUCCCUUAUUCUGAUUCGGUUGCCAAAGCAAUUUCUCUUCUCUCGAAUUCUCUAAUAUUUUCUCUUCUGGGUGAUCAUUAUUUUCCACCUGUCGAUUUCAGAUGAUCAUAUAGACAGAGACAGAGACAGAGACAGAGAGAGAGAGGAGCAAUAUCUCUACGCCCUAAAUUGAAAACCAAGUCGCGAAAGAAGUUGUUGUAGUCUAUAGUGGGCGCCGACGACGCGCGGCAGAGGAGGAGGUGAACUUGAUCGAGGUCAGGAAGAACAAUUGCGAGGACAACUCGCUCAAGCAGAGGAGAGAAGGCUUGCCUCAGUCACAUCAGAUCGACGGCUUGCCCAAUCCCGGCGUCACCGAGAAAACGGCAAUUUCAUAGUGGCAGACUGAUACAAUAAGCUUUGCCUUGUUUUCCGUUAUUCUGCUCGUGGUGUUGGUUUACUAAGAGGAUGAGUCAGGAGAAAAAAUGAGGAGAAGAAGUUUGUGUUUUCCAGCCAUGCUUCUUUGGUUUCCAGCGAGCUUCGACUCCAAUUCAGGGAACCAAAGUUAGACCUUUUUAGUGUACAACUCAGUUAUUUAUGCCUCGCUACAUACAUAAUGGUGUCGCUAGAUCGAGUUGUUAUUGAACAUGGUGCAGUUCCCCUAUAUGUGCACCUUCUAAGCUCCAGCAGUGAUGAUGUCAGAGAGCAGGUUCCGACUACCUCUUACUACUUUUUUCUACUUGAUAGAGCAAUAAUAAGCGAAUAUGGCUAGGAUAUGCCUCUCUAUGUCCUUAUUAUCACCAGUUGUCCCAAUAGCACCUCUUAUAGAGCUGGGUUGAUCAAUUGUUCAUGAGAGAAUGUAAUAGAGGUUAUGAGAUAUGUUUUUGUUUUCAGACGAGGUUUUGGGUUAUGUUGAUGCAUUGUUGAAUAUUUGAGUUCAAUAUAUUUUUUGAUUCAAUAA
Molecule: long non-coding RNA, 957 nt
Organism: Argentina anserina (silverweed cinquefoil)
Lineage: Eukaryota; Viridiplantae; Streptophyta; Magnoliopsida; Rosales; Rosaceae
Exons: 3
Source: RefSeq, a predicted model, not a curated record